Molecule: RNA transcript, 1495 nt
Organism: Brassica oleracea var. oleracea
Lineage: Eukaryota; Viridiplantae; Streptophyta; Magnoliopsida; Brassicales; Brassicaceae
Gene name: stromal 70 kDa heat shock-related protein, chloroplastic-like
Exons: 3
Source: RefSeq, a predicted model, not a curated record
CUCAUUCAUCCUCCCUCUCUCUCUCCUACUUCCCUUUCUCUCUGUCUAGCGAUGAAUUUCUUUUAUUUUUUUCUUCCUUCAAUCUAUCUAUCUUCUUCCUUCAUCUUCUUCAAUCAUAAACAUCAGAGCAUUCUCUGUUGGAAAAGAUUAGUGGAUCGGGUUCUUCUCGAUCAAUUCCACUCCAAUCUGAUCAAUUCCACUCCAAUCUGAUCAAUUCCACUCCAAUCGAGUUCAAAAUCAAAAUUUAAAAACCCUAAUCCGUCUUUUGUAACUUUGCCCACACUGGAGAAACUGUGUGGGAACAUUAUCACGUCAAGCCACUGGAUCUCGUCGCAUACUCUCCUGCGCCUUCCUCUGUAGCUCUUAACCACCAUCAUCUUUGCCUUCUCUCGCUUCAUCUUCUUCUUCUCGUCUUUUCAGUUCCAUCAUCGCUUCUAAACUCGAGAGGUCGUUCUUGUCUGAGUCUUACACUUGGCUUGAAGGGGAUGUUGGUUACGGACAAAUGCUUAGAACGCUUCCCUACACUCUCCACUGGUAUCCGCCUUACCGGAAAAUGGAACCCUCUGCUCCGGAGCAUCUCCACCGCCGGGUCUCGGCGUCGGGUUGAGAUUGUCAAGGCUUCGACUGUGGAUUCGGAUUACUCGUCGAGAAGGAGCAGUAGCAACGAGCAGAGGGAGUCGAUUAUGCUUCCUGGAUGCGACUACAACACUCUUGCUUACUCUUACCUCAACACUCUUGCUACUGUUUUGGAAGGGUUUUUUCUCUCUUCUUAAGAGCUGAGAGUUGAGGCUUAGCUGGAAAUAUGCAAUUACAUUUGAGAAUAAUGGUAAUGUGUCAACUGAUGUCUAGUUUUAUCGUAAGAAAGUGUGUUCCUUUAGUUCUGAUUUGUGCUGUUCAUCAUCAUCCAUACGUUAGUUGAUAGUUUCUGAACAAUGUCUUGUUCUGUGAUGUAUGAGUUAUAGUGGAUGAUAUGUCAGAGAGAAGAUUGUUAACGUUCAAUCAUUUGUAAUUUUUUAAUUAGCUUGUAUUGUUUCUUGCUGUUUUGAAAUCUUGUAACUGAGCUUUGCAGAGAAAAUUGGAAGAUGCCUUAAAAGAGCCAGAGGAAUGGGACAUUGCUCUGUUUCUCUCUGUCAUCACACACGAAGAUGAGAACGGAAACGUCAAACUUGAGUGUCCCGCCAUUGGUAAACAACAGUUUGCAGCUGGGAGAUUUCAUAUUGACUCACAGAGGACAGCUACUAAAGAUGUUGAUCGCAUUGUUGGGCUUGAUGUUCUUCGUAUUAUCAAAGAGUCUACUGCUACUUCUUUGGCUUAUGCUUUUGAAAGGUAAAACAAUUAAAUAAAUCUUGUAUUUGUUCUUGGUGGUGGUACCUUUGAUAUGUCUGGUAGUUUACAUUAUACUAGUGUUCGGUCCCCGUGCGUUGUAUGGGGAAAAAAUAUUAAUUUUUGAAGUUUAACAUCAAUAUUAGAUUUUGAUCCGCUUUCGAAGCGCGGA